UGCGGAAUAGCUCAGCGGUAGAGCGUGGGGCUCAUAACCCCGAGGUCACCUGUUCGAUUCGGGUUUCCGCAACCA
RNAcentral lists this transfer RNA (75 nucleotides) under Cupriavidus sp. RNAcentral's name for it is "tRNA-Met". It matches the Rfam family "tRNA". From Rfam's summary of the family: Transfer RNA (tRNA) molecules are approximately 80 nucleotides in length. Their secondary structure includes four short double-helical elements and three loops (D, anti-codon, and T loops). The record is from RNAcentral. Lineage: Bacteria; Pseudomonadati; Pseudomonadota; Betaproteobacteria; Burkholderiales; Burkholderiaceae. RNAcentral also lists the same sequence under 2 other names.